This 201-nucleotide ribosomal RNA is filed under the name uncultured bacterium. Its description in RNAcentral is "partial 16S ribosomal RNA". It matches the Rfam family "Bacterial small subunit ribosomal RNA", at positions 1300 to 1500 of the family's 1533-position model. The record is from RNAcentral.
GCAGUCUGCAACCCGACUACACGAAGCUGGAAUCGCUAGUAAUCGCGAAUCAGAAUGUCGCGGUGAAUACGUUCCCGGGUCUUGUACACACCGCCCGUCACACCAUGGGAGUCGGGAAUGCCCGAAGUCAGUGACCCAACCUAUAGGAGGGAGCUGCCGAAGGCAGGUCUGAUAACUGGGGUGAAGUCGUAACAAGGUAGC